UCCUUCCGUAGGUGAACCUGCGGAAGGAUCAUUAAUUAUGUUAAAGCGCCUUACCUUAGGGUUUCCUCUGGGGUAAGUGAUUGCUUCUACACUGUGAAAAUUUGGCUGAGAGACUCAGACUGGUCAUGGGUAGACCUAUCUGGGGUUUGAUCGAUGCCACUCCUGGUUUCAGGAGUACCCUUCAUAAUAAACCUAGAAAUUCAGUAUUAUAAAGUUUAAUAAAAAACAACUUUUAACAAUGGAUCUCUUGGUUCUCGCAUCGAUGAAGAACGUAGCAAAGUGCGAUAACUAGUGUGAAUUGCAUAUUCAGUGAAUCAUCGAGUCUUUGAACGCAGCUUGCACUCUAUGGUUUUUCUAUAGAGUACGCCUGCUUCAGUAUCAUCACAAACCCACACAUAACAUUUGUUUAUGUGGUGAUGGGUCGCAUCGCUGUUUUAUUACAGUGAGCACCUAAAAUGUGUGUGAUUUUCUGUCUGGCUUGCUAGGCAGGAAUAUUACGCUGGUCUCAGGAUCUUUUUUUUUGGUUCGCCCAGGAAGUAAAGUACAAGAGUAUAAUCCAGUAACUUUCAAACUAUGAUCUGAAGUCAGGUGGGAUUACCCGCUGAACUUAAGCAUAUCAAUAAGCGGAGGAA
This 632-nucleotide ribosomal RNA is filed under the name Rhizopus arrhizus. RNAcentral's name for it is "eukaryotic LSU rRNA". The stretch from base 228 to 381 matches the Rfam family "5.8S ribosomal RNA". Lineage: Eukaryota; Fungi; Mucoromycota; Mucoromycetes; Mucorales; Rhizopodaceae. The record is from RNAcentral.